UKGMAGUCGAACGAUGAUGCCCAGCUUGCUGGGUGGAUUAGUGGCGAACGGGUGAGUAACACGUGAGUAACCUGCCCCUGACUCUGGGAUAAGCGUUGGAAACGACGUCUAAUACUGGAUAUGAUCACUGGCCGCAUGGUCUGGUGGUGGAAAGAUUUUUUGGUUGGGGAUGGACUCGCGGCCUAUCAGCUUGUUGGUGAGGUAAUGGCUCACCAAGGCGACGACGGGUAGCCGGCCUGAGAGGGUGACCGGCCACACUGGGACUGAGACACGGCCCAGACUCCUACGGGAGGCAGCAGUGGGGAAUAUUGCACAAUGGGCGAAAGCCUGAUGCAGCAACGCCGCGUGAGGGAUGACGGCCUUCGGGUUGUAAACCUCUUUUAGUAGGGAAGAAGCGAAAGUGACGGUACCUGCAGAAAAAGCACCGGCUAACUACGUGCCAGCAGCCGCGGUAAUACGUAGGGUGCAAGCGUUGUCCGGAAUUAUUGGGCGUAAAGAGCUCGUAGGCGGUUUGUCGCGUCUGCUGUGAAAUCCCGAGGCUCAACCUCGGGCUUGCAGUGGGUACGGGCAGACUAGAGUGCGGUAGGGGAGAUUGGAAUUCCUGGUGUAGCGGUGGAAUGCGCAGAUAUCAGGAGGAACACCGAUGGCGAAGGCAGAUCUCUGGGCCGUAACUGACGCUGAGGAGCGAAAGCAUGGGGAGCGAACAGGAUUAGAUACCCUGGUAGUCCAUGCCGUAAACGUUGGGCGCUAGAUGUAGGGACCUUUCCACGGUUUCUGUGUCGUAGCUAACGCAUUAAGCGCCCCGCCUGGGGAGUACGGCCGCAAGGCUAAAACUCAAAGGAAUUGACGGGGGCCCGCACAAGCGGCGGAGCAUGCGGAUUAAUUCGAUGCAACGCGAAGAACCUUACCAAGGCUUGACAUACACCGGAAACGGCCAGAGAUGGUCGCCCCCUUGUGGUCGGUGUACAGGUGGUGCAUGGUUGUCGUCAGCUCGUGUCGUGAGAUGUUGGGUUAAGUCCCGCAACGAGCGCAACCCUCGUUCUAUGUUGCCAGCGGGUUAUGCCGGGGACUCAUAGGAGACUGCCGGGGUCAACUCGGAGGAAGGUGGGGAUGACGUCAAAUCAUCAUGCCCCUUAUGUCUUGGGCUUCACGCAUGCUACAAUGGCCGGUACAAAGGGCUGCGAUACCGUAAGGUGGAGCGAAUCCCAAAAAGCCGGUCUCAGUUCGGAUUGAGGUCUGCAACUCGACCUCAUGAAGUCGGAGUCGCUAGUAAUCGCAGAUCAGCAACGCUGCGGUGAAUACGUUCCCGGGCCUUGUACACACCGCCCGUCAAGUCAUGAAAGUCGGUAACACCCGAAGCCGGUGGCCUAACCCUUGUGGAAGGAGCCGUCGAA
RNAcentral lists this ribosomal RNA (1394 nucleotides) under Curtobacterium sp. Its description in RNAcentral is "bacterial SSU rRNA". Lineage: Bacteria; Bacillati; Actinomycetota; Actinomycetes; Micrococcales; Microbacteriaceae. The record is from RNAcentral.